Molecule: ribosomal RNA, 565 nt
Filed under: Salmonella enterica subsp. enterica serovar Oslo
Lineage: Bacteria; Pseudomonadati; Pseudomonadota; Gammaproteobacteria; Enterobacterales; Enterobacteriaceae
Description: bacterial SSU rRNA
Rfam family: Bacterial small subunit ribosomal RNA
Source: RNAcentral
GUCUUGACAUCCACGGAAGUUUUCAGAGAUGAGAAUGUGCCUUCGGGAACCGUGAGACAGGUGCUGCAUGGCUGUCGUCAGCUCGUGUUGUGAAAUGUUGGGUUAAGUCCCGCAACGAGCGCAACCCUUAUCCUUUGUUGCCAGCGGUUAGGCCGGGAACUCAAAGGAGACUGCCAGUGAUAAACUGGAGGAAGGUGGGGAUGACGUCAAGUCAUCAUGGCCCUUACGACCAGGGCUACACACGUGCUACAAUGGCGCAUACAAAGAGAAGCGACCUCGCGAGAGCAAGCGGACCUCAUAAAGUGCGUCGUAGUCCGGAUUGGAGUCUGCAACUCGACUCCAUGAAGUCGGAAUCGCUAGUAAUCGUGGAUCAGAAUGCCACGGUGAAUACGUUCCCGGGCCUUGUACACACCGCCCGUCACACCAUGGGAGUGGGUUGCAAAAGAAGUAGGUAGCUUAACCUUCGGGAGGGCGCUUACCACUUUGUGAUUCAUGACUGGGGUGAAGUCGUAACAAGGUAACCGUAGGGGAACCUGCGGUUGGAUCACCUCCUUACCUUAAAGAA